UUAAAGAUGGACCUAGCAGAUCGCACUGUCUGGAAUCCAGAUGGAAGUGAGCAUACCCUACUUUGCUCUUUCUGAUGCUGUAAUUGAAUAUUUCUAGAAGACUGCAGCCUGUGCCCAAGAUCUCCAGCUACAUCCACCUUGUGGCAUCCUGAAAUAACCUGGAGGUCAGGAACUCAGUGCACAACAUAAUUCAGUAAUGAGACUGAAGAACUUCUAGCAAAGGUGUUCAAGCUCAUCACUGAUUUUUCUGGUAACCAGCUACUCAAUGGAAAAAUGAAGAGAAGCAGCAUCCCUGGCUGAGUACAGAGAAUUUGGCAUUUGGAGUUUGGCACCUGUAAUCAGUCAAAGCCUGGCAGGGAUAGAACUGCCUGAAUGAGUCCUAGGCAUAGAACAGUGGGUCAGAAUGAGGAACUGCAGAAGAUGGGGUUGUGGCACUGUCUCUUUUAGCUUCAGCCUGCGCUAAACCUCUCUUGUGAUGACAGUGGGAGCAUGUGUGAGAGCAAUUAUAGGAGUGAAUAUCUGCAUCCAGGCUCUGCCUCAAACCAGGCAGCAGAAGUAUAGAACACACAUCUAAAACCUGCUUAUACAAAGGUCAGAACAAAUAACUUGCUUGUGUGAAUUUUGAGGCUAAAAAGCAGCCCAGUUGCUAAAAAAUUAGAGGGGCACAGCAGCCUCCGGUGUGGUUCCCUGCCACAUUUAUUUUUAUUGCAAUGUGUAAAGCAGAUUACUUGGUAUGAGGAGUUCAAAGUUGUUUUGUGAGCUCUGUGCAUGUUUUGCAUGUCAACUACAUUAUAGAGACAUUAAGGAGUCCAUAAAAUAUUCAUAGACCAAGAUACUCUAUAUAAAAGUUUAUGUUAUGAUGUGCUCUCCCUAAUUCAGCAGAUUUUAAAACUAUUUGAUGUGGUAUGAAAAUCAAAUUCAUGCACACAAAGGAAGCAACAAACCAAUGUGUGUUUCCAAAAUGAAAUUAGCAUAAAAUUACAGUCUUGUCACAAAAAUCUACUGAAGCUUUCGUCUCCUGGACCCAGCUGCUUGAGUCACUUCACUGAUGAAGAAAAGAGAUAAUGCCCAAGAGGGAUAUUGUCUCUUCAUCUUCUGAUCUUGGGAGAGAAAGUAACAAGCAAAACUCCUCCAACAUGUCAGCAAGACUGCUGGGCCAGGGUAGUGGCAAAACUGAGUUUGAGAUGCUCUAUGAAAUCUGAUGAAAUUUAGCAGCUUUACAGGUCAAGGAUUUUACCCUUCAACAGCACUGGGAUUGUUCUAAGUUUUCAUGUUGGGAAGCUCCCAAUAGCUGGGAGCUGGGAGCUGAGAGCUGGGAACUGGGGGCUGGGAGCAACACAGAGAUAUCUCCAAAUGUAUGCACAUUUUCAUCAGGUUCCUCCUGAUUUAGGAAUUCAUCUGUGCGCUUCUCCUGCUUUGAGGACAGCACAAGUGCAAACAGCGAAAUCAGAAAAUUAACCUUCAGGAGGCAGGAGCUCUCUGGUGAACAGAGUAGAGGUUAAUAACCUUGCUCUGUGAUGCACUUCUUUUGAGAGCUCUGCUCUAGCAGCUUGCUCCUGCAGUGCACAGCGAAGGCAGAAAUUAGGAGGGGUGCCAGGCAGUAAUGGACUGAGCCAUUUGCGUGUCUGUUUUUCCAUUCAGCAGACCCUGAGAGCAGGGCUCAUCAGCAGAGCAGACCAGGAAAUGUUGCAUCAUUGAGAUUAUUGAACUCAUUCUCUACCUAAAAUUACCAGAUUGUCUGAUACAUGCUGCUGAGUAAAAAUUCAAGUAAUAACUGCCUAUGGAUGUAAGUAUACAGAAAGAGAUACGAUUUUUGUUAGAUUUGAUCAAUGGUUUUGGACCAAAUAAAUUUGGUCCAAAUGAAUUUAUUUGAAAUAUCUGGUAUCUGAAAUAGUCCACAAUUAAAGGAGAUACUUGGUUCCCAAAUAUAUUCUGAAAAUAUUCAACUGUCCUUUCCUCCUGAGAAUUUAAUUACCUGUUUGCAUCUGAUGCUCCACAGGUACUCAGGGUCUCCACCUGUAAAGAAGGCAGCACCCUCUUCAUUCAAUUUAGUUUCUUCAACUGUUAAAACAUUUUCAAAAUCUUCAUGCACAGUAUCUUAUUUGUAAACAGCUGUGCUCCUGAAAGCCCUGUGGUUGUGUCAGAGGUGGAUACAUGCAACCGCUCUAUGGUGACACACACACAUAAGACAGUGACCCCCAGUCCACAAUUUAUUCAGUACUGCCCUCAUCCUUGGGACUCUGACCCCAAAGCAAGACUGGAGAAGGGGACAAAUUAAUCUAUACCAUUGGUCCUCUAGGAAGUAUCAAAGUGUCCAAAACAUUUGUCCCUGUAUAUUACAAGAAUUACACUGCAAUUAUUGAGUUCCCAUUUCUGCCAGCUACUCUUACACACAUAAUUGUGUGCUUUCUCUGAUCAGGCAUUUUCUGCCUUUAAAUUUACUAUGUUGGUUAUGGUUGAAGCAUAGGUUUCACUUUAGCCUAAUUCUUUGACUUCACUCCUUUGUUUAUCCCCCUUUCUCAGUGUUGUACUGGCCGGGAUGUGUACACAGUAACCCAAAAAAUAAGUGCCUCAAUCAAAAGAGGGAUAUUUCUACCACAUUUAGGUUUGAUAAAUGCUCCAUUUUAUCAAUUCUUAAUUACAGGCCAAAUAAAACCUCAGAAUCCAUGUCCAAAGUGUUGCAGAUAACAUGCAUCCCCUGACACCAUCUCUUUUUGGGUUGACUCUGCCUACAGAAAUAGAAUGUCAUUUUAUAAAAUAACAUCUGAAUUUCUAGAAAUACCAGUAGCAUUCGGGUGGCAGGGAGAGGCCAUGAUGCAAGUCUGCACUGUCAGGGUGUGGGUCUCAUACCUCCUGACUGUAAAGGACUGAGGAUCUGAAUGUUGGUGCUUGGACUUCAUGAAACCAAAGGUUGAUGAGCAUUCACUCAUAUGGAGAGCAAUAUAUACUUUUGCAGGUUUUUAUCACAUCUGAACUCAAAAACUCUGCAGUUAUGCUUGUCCAAAAGGUUUAAAAAUAUCUGGUGAAGAAAAUCAUAUGCCUGACUCUCAGAGGUUGCAGCACUUGGCAGAGUAGCAACUCUUGUGUUGUCAAAACUUUCUGCUUGAAGAAGCCAGACAUCCACAGAGAGCGCACCCAGCAGCAAAGGCUGCCCUGUGGGGGAAGAAGGGAGGGGAGUUACUGGAGAACAAACCCCCUGUUCCUGGCACAGGCAGGUGCUGGAGAUGCAGCAGGAGGAGUGUAUCCCAGUGCCAAACUAAAACUUGAACUGAGGUUUAUUCCAUGUUAUUCAGCAACUGCAUUUGAGUGCUGCCCAUAUGUGUGUUGCUUGGAAAGAGUGGGGUCACACUCAGGGGCCACGGAAAGAAGAGAGCUCAUCUGCCUCUGCAAUCCCUUUUUCCUCUGCUGUUCUGCUGCUGGGGGAAGGAUGGGGAGGCUGGACAAUGCCAAAGGGAUCUGUAGUUUGUUGGUCUUCUACUAAAUGGCAUACAAAAUGGAGCACAUCCUGACAUGGAUUUUCUUUUUUCUGUCCCGCGGUUUAUUUUCCAUCACCGACUGUUAAAGCUAUGAAAUCAAUAGCUGAUGACAAGUGGGUUUAAUAUGUAGAGUAAGAGGAAUGUAAGUAGUAGUUAAAAAUUAACAGAUACAGGCUGAGAACAGGAUUUUUUCAUUUCAGAAACCACCUGGGGCAAUUUGUUUUUCACUAAUAUAUACAAAGAUCUAGAAUGUACCAUGUUAUUAU
Zonotrichia leucophrys gambelii is the source of this 3742-nucleotide long non-coding RNA. RefSeq lists it as uncharacterized. The transcript has 3 exons. NCBI's taxonomy places the organism in Eukaryota, Metazoa, Chordata, Aves, Passeriformes, Passerellidae. The record is from RefSeq and is a predicted model, not a curated record.